GGAGAGAUGCUCGAGAGGCUGAAGAGGCACGCCUGGAAAGCGUGUAUACGCCUAAAGCGUAUCGCGGGUUCGAAUCCCGCUCUCUCCGCAA
Molecule: transfer RNA, 91 nt
Filed under: Parabacteroides sp. An277
Lineage: Bacteria; Pseudomonadati; Bacteroidota; Bacteroidia; Bacteroidales; Tannerellaceae
Description: tRNA-Ser
Rfam family: tRNA
About the family: Transfer RNA (tRNA) molecules are approximately 80 nucleotides in length.
Source: RNAcentral